This 238-nucleotide ribosomal RNA is filed under the name uncultured bacterium. Its description in RNAcentral is "partial 16S ribosomal RNA". It matches the Rfam family "Bacterial small subunit ribosomal RNA", at positions 15 to 236 of the family's 1533-position model. The record is from RNAcentral.
GAUCCUGGCUCAGGACGAACGCUGGCGGCGUGCUUAACACAUGCAAGUCGAACGAGAAUCUACUGAAAGAGUUUUCGGACAAUGGAUGUAGAGGAAAGUGGCGGACGGGUGAGUAACGCGUGAGGAACCUGCCUUGAAGAGGGGGACAACAGUUGGAAACGACUGCUAAUACCGCAUGACGCAUAGAGGUCGCAUGAUCUUUAUGCCAAAGAUUUAUCGCUUCAAGAUGGCCUCGCGU